This 1165-nucleotide ribosomal RNA is filed under the name Staphylococcus aureus. RNAcentral's name for it is "bacterial SSU rRNA". It matches the Rfam family "Bacterial small subunit ribosomal RNA", at positions 1 to 1147 of the family's 1533-position model. The record is from RNAcentral. Lineage: Bacteria; Bacillati; Bacillota; Bacilli; Caryophanales; Staphylococcaceae.
UUUAUGGAGAGUUUGAUCCUGGCUCAGGAUGAACGCUGGCGGCGUGCCUAAUACAUGCAAGUCGAGCGAACGGACGAGAAGCUUGCUUCUCUGAUGUUAGCGGCGGACGGGUGAGUAACACGUGGAUAACCUACCUAUAAGACUGGGAUAACUUCGGGAAACCGGAGCUAAUACCGGAUAAUAUUUUGAACCGCAUGGUUCAAAAGUGAAAGACGGUCUUGCUGUCACUUAUAGAUGGAUCCGCGCUGCAUUAGCUAGUUGGUAAGGUAACGGCUUACCAAGGCAACGAUGCAUAGCCGACCUGAGAGGGUGAUCGGCCACACUGGAACUGAGACACGGUCCAGACUCCUACGGGAGGCAGCAGUAGGGAAUCUUCCGCAAUGGGCGAAAGCCUGACGGAGCAACGCCGCGUGAGUGAUGAAGGUCUUCGGAUCGUAAAACUCUGUUAUUAGGGAAGAACAUAUGUGUAAGUAACUGUGCACAUCUUGACGGUACCUAAUCAGAAAGCCACGGCUAACUACGUGCCAGCAGCCGCGGUAAUACGUAGGUGGCAAGCGUUAUCCGGAAUUAUUGGGCGUAAAGCGCGCGUAGGCGGUUUUUUAAGUCUGAUGUGAAAGCCCACGGCUCAACCGUGGAGGGUCAUUGGAAACUGGAAAACUUGAGUGCAGAAGAGGAAAGUGGAAUUCCAUGUGUAGCGGUGAAAUGCGCAGAGAUAUGGAGGAACACCAGUGGCGAAGGCGACUUUCUGGUCUGUAACUGACGCUGAUGUGCGAAAGCGUGGGGAUCAAACAGGAUUAGAUACCCUGGUAGUCCACGCCGUAAACGAUGAGUGCUAAGUGUUAGGGGGUUUCCGCCCCUUAGUGCUGCAGCUAACGCAUUAAGCACUCCGCCUGGGGAGUACGACCGCAAGGUUGAAACUCAAAGGAAUUGACGGGGACCCGCACAAGCGGUGGAGCAUGUGGUUUAAUUCGAAGCAACGCGAAGAACCUUACCAAAUCUUGACAUCCUUUGACAACUCUAGAGAUAGAGCUUUCCCCUUCGGGGGACAAAGUGACAGGUGGUGCAUGGUUGUCGUCAGCUCGUGUCGUGAGAUGUUGGGUUAAGUCCCGCAACGAGCGCAACCCUUAAGCUUAGUUGCCAUCAUUAAGUUGGGCACUCUAAGUUG